GUGGAUGUAGCUCAGUGGUAGAGCACUUGUCUAGCAAGCAAAUAUCCUGGGUUAAAUCCCCACUACUGCA
This 70-nucleotide transfer RNA is filed under the name Heterocephalus glaber (naked mole-rat). It matches the Rfam family "tRNA". Rfam says of the family: Transfer RNA (tRNA) molecules are approximately 80 nucleotides in length. The record is from Rfam by way of RNAcentral. Lineage: Eukaryota; Metazoa; Chordata; Mammalia; Rodentia; Bathyergidae.